CGGCACCUGGUUCUCACGUGCGCGCUUCAUGUCGUUUUCCUUCCAGGACUCAGUUCUCGGUGUCACCUCGCUACCACGCACCGCGGCACUGGCCUUGGUGGCCGUCUAAGGUAGUGAGGCUUUAAGACUUGAAAGAACUUGGUCCGUUGGCUGGAUGUCACGUUUGGUGGUAAAAAGCAAGUUUUCUCGUUGUCUUUGAUGCCCCAGAGAAGCAGGGUGACCUGGGUGUGACCCAGCAGGGCAGGGGAGAGUUCUGAGACUGAAGUUGUGUCGCUUGCAGUGUCUGCACCGCUGGGAGUCCGAGAGACACCUCCACAGGCCCCACUGUCCAUGCACGCACCGACGCGGCCCUGCAGGCAGAGAGCAUGGUGCUCGGGCACCCACGGUGACUGUGGGCAGAGGCCAGCAGGGUGUGCACUGUCGCGACUUAAUCCACCUGCGCUGUGGCGGCAGAACGCUGUGAGCGUCCAGCAUGUGUGGGGGCCGCAGGCAAACUUCAGCUUCCCCGAAAGGCUGCUGAGCCUGUCUCGGUGGCGCCCAGCUCACCGCCAUGUGCGGAUGUCCGUCCACGUCUCCAUCGUGUGCCUUUGGGAUGGUUUUCUGUGAGCCGGGCCCCCGGCCCAGGGGACGAACAAGUAGGGGUGGCAUCAUCACGCUUCCCUGCGUGAGGCCCGCGCCGUUUCGAAUUCUCCGUCGCGUGAGUGAGUGAGUGAGGGCCUGGAGUCACAGCCCACGGCGUGUUGUCAGGCGGGUGGACUUUGGCCGGCGGCUGCUUGAGAACUCACAUCUGAGGGGACUUUGAGUUUGAUGAGGGGGGUUCCCCCGUGGAUCUUAGCCGUGGCCGUGCAGCGAGGUCCGUGUGUGCCUUCUCCUGGCCCGGUUGUUCCUGUCUAUGUGAGUCAGGGCUGAUCUCAUACAUCAUUUCCUCCCUUUCAUCAUUUUCACUCCUCUGUGUUUUCUCUGAAGCCAUUUGAGAAAGAAUCAUCAGCUCCUUCCCCUCCACCAAACUCCACCCCCUAGGCUGCCCCCACAGGAAAACACACUUUUCUCUUUGUUAAUUUCCUUUAAACGUUGUUGGCUAAUUCAAGGUUUUCAUUUAUUGAAACUAUUUUGAUGAUUUACAUUUUUUCUAAAACAAUUUUUUGCAUAGCUUAGAAAUUUCUUGCUCCUAAAGCUUUUGUCUUGUAUGAUUUACAAAAUCUUGAUCGUAUCUGCAUCAUAUAUAGACACUUUCUUGACAGAAUCAUUUAUUUCUGGUUCCUUUCUUGAUCCGUCAUGCUACACAGUAACGUAUAUCUCUUUCAGUAAGCAGCUGUCAGUGUUACAGAUUAUUUCAGUUCUUUCCCUCAUGAAUUUCUACGGUCAUCUUUUUUUACAUACAUUUCCUUCUGUCAUUUUUUUUAGUUUAUUGAAUAGUUUUUUGUUUUGUCAGCUGUAUUGUCAUAUAAUUACACACACUAAGAUUCACCAAUUUUAAGUGUACAAUUUGAUCCGUUUUGGUAAAGCACACACCUUUUGUGCCUCAUCAGUCCCCCUCUUUUCUCCCUGGCCCAGGCCAGCCGCAGAUGUGCUUCCGGUCGCUGUAGCUUUGCCUCUCUUAGAAUUUCACAUGAGGACUCUUGGAGCAUUUUGUCUGUGGUUUCUCACUUCUUCCUGGCAGCAUCUUUAUUUUAAAUUUUAUUUUGAAUGGACAAGUAAUAUUUGCGUAUACAGGGUACAGCAAGAUGUUUCGCUAUGUGUGUGUUGAGGAAUGAUUAAGUCCUGUGGUGUGGAUACUGUGGGGCUAUAGCUGUGUGGCUGGCCAAGGUGUGGAUACCGUGGGGCUCGCUGUGUGGCUGGCGGGGUGUGGAUACUGUGGAGCUCGCGUGUGGCUGGCCGGGGCGUGGUGUCUGUGGGGUUCACUGUGUGUCUGGCAGGGUGUGGUUACUGUGGGGCUCGCCGUGUGGCUGGCUGGGGCGUGGUGUCUGUGGGGUUCACUGUGUGUCUGGCGGGGUGUGGUUACCAUGGAGUUCACUGUGUGUCUGGCGGGGUGUGGUUACUGUGGGGCUGGUGGGGUGUGGAUACUGUGGCGCUCACGUGUGGCUGGCCAGGGCGUGGAUACUGUGGGGCUCACUAUGUGUCCCUGGCCGAAUGGGCAGUUUGUUCUUUCUAUCACUGAGUAGCUUCUGCUGUGUGUGUGCUCCAUCUCUCCCCUGUUCCGGGGUCGAUAGACGUCUGGUUGCUUUGGUUUUUGCCUGUUGUGAGUAAAGCUGCUGUGUGUCUGUGCACUGAUUUACGCAGACAUGCUUGCGUUUUCCUGAGGUGAUUAAUACCACAGAGGUGAGCUCUGCCUCAUCUGGUGGCCACAUGUUUAGUUUUGUAAGAAGCUGUAAAACUGCUUCCAGGGCCCAGGAGUGGUGGCUCACUCCACUAAUCCCAGCACUUCGGGAGGCUGAGGUAGGCAGAUCACCUGAGGUCAGGAGUUCGAGGCCAGCCUGGCCAACAUGAUGAAACCCCAUCUCUACUAAAAAUACAAAAAUUAGCCAGGUAUGGUGGCGGGCGCCUGUCAUUCCAGCUACUCGGGAGGCUGAGACAGGAAAAUCGCUUGAACCCAGGAGGUGGAGGUUGCAGUGAGCCAAGAUCGCACCACUGCACUCCAGCCUGGGCAACUAAGCAAGACUGUGUCUCUAGGCAAAAAAAAAACAAAAAAAAAAAAAACGUGCUUCCGGGGUGGCCCUGAGUGACGCAUUUCCAGGCAGCAGCGUUGACCCCUGCGGGCACGUGGCCACACGCUUUGCCUUUAGCCGUUCUGCGUGUGUGCAGGCGUCCCGUCCUGGCUGCACUCCUCAUUUCCCUGAUGUACGUGUUGACCACCUUACGUGUUUCUUUCUCAUCAGUUUGCCUUUUUUUCAUUUUGGGGCAGCUGUGUUGAGAUAUAACUGAUGUGGGAUGCAUGGUGCGUGUGGAAGGUGCAGUUCAAUGAGCUUUGACGUCCGUACCCACCCGUGAAACUAUCCACAGCACCAAGACAAUAGGUGUCCCUGCAUCCUUGCGCUUGAGCGGGCACGUGCGCUGGACUUUUCUCUGCUGCUUUCUGACGCACACCUGCCCUCAUCCCACGCUACCUCAGGCCUCCUUUCUGUCAAUAUAGAUUAGCCGGAAUUUUCUGGAAUUUUAUGUGAACAGAAUCGGACAGCAGGCACUUUUUUUAUUAUGGGAAAAUUCACAUAACAGAAUUCACCACCAUAACCAUUUGGAGCACAGAGCUCGGAGAUGUUUGUUGCAUAUACAGCACGGUGUUCCAUGUGCGUGUGUGGAGGGUCGGAUCGCGUGGUGUUCCCUGUGCAUGUGCAGUUCCACUUCCGGCUUUCUGGGGAACCUGCACGCUGUCUUCCCGAGUGGCUGCACCGUUGUUCGUUCCCACUGUGUGAAUUUUAGAACCGGCCCCUCCAUUGCUACGACAGCCUGCUGGGAUUGCGUCGGCAUCCUGUUGACUCUAGAUGAACUCGGAAGAAUCUCAACCAUAUUGAGGCUUCCGUCUCAUGAACGCGGUCCAGCUCUCCCUUAUUUCAGGCAUCUUUCACUUCUUUCAGUACGCCUCGUAGUUUGGUCUUGUUCACGGUUCAUCACAUUGAUACCCAAGCAUUUCCUGUUUCUAAUGACACUGUGAAUGGACCUGACUGAGUCUGAGUGUGAAGGCAGCCCCGGUCCUUGGGUGAGCCCCCGGUCCCUGUUCCACCGCAGCGUGUCACGCUUCUUCUGUGCAUCAGCUGUGCAUUGCCCGGCCACGCAGGGGUAGCGUCUGCGGUCAUGAAGGACUGGUCUUGACCUGACUGACGUCUCAGCGUGAAGGCAGCCCCAGUGUUUGGGUGAGCCCCCGGUGUUUGGGUGAGCCCCCUGUGUUUGGGUGAGCCCCUGGUCCCUGGGUGAGCCCCCGGUCUUUGGGCGAGCCCCUGGUCCCUGGAUGAGCCCCGGUCUUUGGGUGAGCCCCCUGUGUUUGGGUGAGCCCCAGUCUUUGGGUGAGCCCCCUGUGUUUGGGUGAGCCCCUGGUGUUUGGGUGAGCCCCAGUCUUUGGGUGAGCCCCUGGUCCCUGGGUGAGCCCCGGUCUUUGGGUGAGCCCCCGGUGUUUGGGUGAGCCCCUGGUCCCUGGGUGAGCCCCCAGUGUUUGGGCGAGCCCCCGGUCCCUGGGUGAGCCCUCAGUCCCUGGGUGAGCCCCCGGUCUUUGGGCGAGCCCCUGGUCCCUGGGUGAGCCCCAGUCUUUGGGUGAGCCCCCAGCCCCCGAUCCCGGGUCCACCACACGGUGUCACACUUCUCCUAUGUGUUGGGUCCACAUUGCCAGGCCUUGCAAGGGGUUGCAUCUGCACUCGGAAGGACUGGCCUGCGGUCUCCUUUUCUUGUGAUAGCUUGGUCUGGUUUAGCAUCGGGGGGAUGCUGGCCUCGGAGAGUUGCUUGGAAAAUGUCCUUUAGAAUUCACUUUUCUGGAGCCAUUUGUUUAGAAUGGGUGUUAUUUUUAUUUGAAUGUUUGGUAGAACUCAUCAGUGAAGCCAUUUGGGACAGUUUUCUCUGUGGGAAGGUUUUUAACGACAGCAUGAAUUGUUUCAGUAAACACAGGCUGUCUGUAUCAUCUUUUCUCUUUUUUUUUUUUGGAGACAGAGUCUUGCUCUGUCACCCAAGCUGGAGUGCAAUGGCACCAUCUCACCUCACUGCAACCUCCACCUCCUGGGUUCAAGCAAUUCUCCUGCCUCAGCCUCCCGAGUAGCUGGGAUUACAGGCAUGCGCCAUCACGCCCGGCUAAUUUGUGUAUUUUUAGGAGAAACGGGGUUUCACCAUGUUGGCCAUGCUGGUCUCGAACUCUUGACCUCAGGUGAUCCACCCGCCUUGGCGUCUCAAAGUGCUGGGAUGACAGGCGUGAGCCACCGCGCCCGGCCACUGCCACCCACUUUUAGACCGUCGGAUCUCACAAGAACUCAGGAUUACGAGAGCAGCAAGGGGGCUGUCCACCCUCAUCACCCAGUCACCCCCCAGCAGAGCCCUGCUCCAACACUCAGGAUCACAGUUCCCCCUAAGACUUGGGUGGGGACUCCGAGCCAAAGCCCACCACUGGUUCAUGUGACCCUGAAGACUCCUCCGGCUCCGCGAUGUCACUCGCUCACGUAGCUCGGCAGCGUUUUCACACAUCUUUACGUGUCUGCAGAUUGUCCUCUUGUCCCGUCACCCGCCGAGAAACGCGUGCUGAACUUGCCGGCCGUGGUUGUGGCGUCCUCCUUUGUCCUCUCACACCCGUCGGUCGGUGUCGGCGUGCCCUGUGCGAGUGUAGACGCUCAGGACUUUGUCCGCCUCGUGAGUCCCCCGCUCAGCAGCACCAUCACGUGGGCCUUGGGGCCGGUGGUGUUUCCUGCUCAGGGAGCUACUCUGAGGUCAGCAGAGCCAUAAUGGAAUAGGGUUCAGCAGUACACGGGCAGACGAUCCACACAGAGCAAGGUGUGUGAGUCCCACACGCGUGUGCUGAGCGAGGGAAGCCAGGUCUAAAAGUCCGCAGAUGGCCGGGUCCCGUUGCCGUGUCCUGGAAAAGGUGAACCGGAGCCACAGGGAGGAGGCCUGGGGGCCGUCGCCGUAGCAGACUGCGGAGGGCCGGAAGGGACUGUCAGGGCUGGCGGCCUCGUUCCCUGUCCUGGCCGUGCGGGUGGGCAUGCCGCUGCGUUGCCGGGCCCCACAAGGAGUCGGUCUUUCUGUGUGUCGAUCACGAAAAGACUUUUAAAAGUCAGAUCAGGGUGUCUGAUGUUUUAUUCCCUUUCUGAUAAGGAUUUUGUAACAUUCAGGUAAAACUGCUUUCCUUUGUAUCGUUUGCAUUUUAGAGUUGAUUAUCUCCAUUUACUUUAGGAUUAUUUUAAAUUAUGAGCUAAUUCAUUUGGAGGUAAUUUUCGGGUUUGGUGUGGUGGGGGGACUGUGUGCCCAGCACUCUCCCGCUCAGUUCUCAUCCCCCAGACGCCGGGGGUGCAGCUGUCUCUGGUUGCAGUGUCAUCCCUGUAGUCCCAGCACUUUGAGAGGCCAAGGCGGGAGGAUGGCUUGCGGCCAAGGGUUCCAGACCAGCCUCGGCAACAUAGUGAGACUUCACUGUAGAAAUUUUAAAAAUUACCCAGGCAUGAUAGCGCACACCUGUGGUCCCAGCUACUUGGGAGGCUAAGGUGGGAGGAUUGCUUGAGCCCGUGAAGUUGAGACUGCACUGAGCUGUGAUCACACACUGCACUCCAGCCUGGGCAACAGCAAGACCGUGUCUCGAAAAACAAGUAAAAUAAAAAAUGGAUCACACUGUGAUCACACACUGUACUCCAGCCUGUAGGUCUGGACACAUUAGACGCUAGCCUGUAGGGCUGGAUAGAUUUGAUGCUCCAUCCCUGCCACUGGGUCAUUACGGUGUGUCUUGCACACGGUGAGGAGCACAGAUGUGAAGGCUCACACAUCCCCCCAUCCCUGGGUGUUGAGCGCUUGGGGUUUGAAACCUGCACAGCCUGUGAGCCAGAAUGGUCUCAUGAGGUCAAAAGCGUGGGACUAGCACCAGCCCGAGGGCCCGGUGCUGCACCCAGCUCGUUCCCUCCCACCGCACCGGGACGCCCUUCCAGGUGGCCAGGGCCGAGCUCCGUCGGGAGCCGGCACGUGCCUGUGCGUCCUGCAGGGCCUGGCCCCUCCAGCUGCACAGGUGCGCCAGCCGGAGAGCGUCCUUUCCCAUAGCUGCACUGCAAUCCCCGCUGUGGCGCGCAGCCCCCUCCGCAGUCCCCCACGCCCUCCGUGGUCACUCCCGCCCUGCACCUGUCAGGACGACUCUGCCACAGUUUAUUCCUCUAGUCCCUGCUCUCACGUCCGGCUCCUCUCGCCUGGGGCACCGUGAACCAAGCAGCCGACAUCCCCAUCCGUGCAGGCUCUCACGGGCACAGGCCCUCUUCCCACUGGUGUGCUUCUGGGAGGACGGAUGCCCUGGCCGGGCCAUGGGGCUUUAUGCUCAGCCGCCCCGUGGGCCGCUUUCCCGGCAGUUGCGCGGCGUCCCAGUUCCCCCAGCAACGCGGAGGACACCCAGCUGCCUGGCAGCCUCGCGGGGUCUGGCGUCUUCAGUCCUUUUUGUCUCUGCCGCGCGUGUCAUGUUCUUGUUGCCACCUCUCCAUGCCCCGUGAACCCUGCCCUCACCAGCGCCAGUGCUGGGCGCUUCCCCUUGUCUACGGCCGCCGUGUACCCCUCUCCGGAGGGCAGCGCAUGUCCAGACUCGGUCGUGUUCGGGCCUGUUUCUCACUGAUGCUUAAAAUUCUGCCUCUGAGUCCCUCGUCAGAAUCUCGCCUUGCAGAGACAUUUCUCCCUCUGUGUCAUGUCCUGUCGUGGUGUUCCCCGUGCUGGUAGCUGACCCUGAGUCCUGCGCUGGGGCGGUGCAGCAGGCCGCUCUCUUCCUUCAGGGAGUGCACGUGUGUCCCAUGAAAGAAACCUUGGCCACGGCAGAGCCGUGCAGCGUCACUCGUUUCCUUCCAGGAGGGCCGCUGUUUGGCCUUUCACCCUUCGGGCUGGGAUCCCCUGGUAUUCAGUUUGUGUGAAGUGUGUUUGCCUGUGGAUAUUCCACGGGGCUCUGUCCCAACUCACUUCCUUCCCUUGCUCUCUUAGGCCACCGGUGCCUGACGGAGACUGACUGAGUCUUCAUUACUCUGACUUUACAGGAAGGGUUGAAACCGGGCGGUAGGACUUAUAUCCACCAACUUGGUCCCCCUGUGAGUUCUUUUGUGUUCCCUGGUAAGUUUUCACAUGAGCCUGUCCGUGUAUACUACAAACCCCAAAACAACAGGCCCUCGGUGCAUGUGGAUGGGGAUUGCUGGACUUUGGGUGGGGAUCGCGUGGACUCUGGGUCAACAGAGUCGUCUGGAGGAAAUUGCAGUCUGUGAACUCAGCAGUGAGGUCCACCUCACCACGUUGAGGUUGUCUUUAAUUUCACCCAGCCGUGCCCUGCAGUUUGCUUUGUAGACACUGUGUGUGAUUUUUGUUCCAUUUUUUCGUAGGUUGAUUUUUCAUGCUCUUGAUAGAUGGCAUUAUUGAAGAUUUUAUUUUCUAGUUGUUUGUUGCCAGUAUAUUGAAAUAAUUUAUUUUUGCAUAUUGUCCUUGGAUGCAGCAACUUUGCUGAAGAUACUUAUUAAUUCCCGUAUUUGGUAAGCAUUUGGAUUGUCUACACAGUGUGUUGCUUGUGAAUUAUGACGGUUCUGCCUCUUUCUGCCUGUCGGCGUAUCUUUCAGCCUUUCCCUUGCCUGCUGCCCUGGCUCGGCCGUCCAGGCGGCCUUGGUGGUGACACUGUCUUCUUGUUCCCAGCACAGGGAGGAAGUGUUCGUGUGUCAUCGCUGUCUGAGCAGCUGGGGUGUUUCGUAGAGGCCCUUUGUCUGAGCAUUCAGGCUGCUGUCACGAAACACCAUAGCCCGGGCAGCUCGUCACCAGCAAGACAUUUACUGUUCACAGGUCUGCAGGCUGGAAGAUCUCGGUGUGGCAGAGUGGUGCCUGGUUCAUCGACGGCGCCUUCCCGCUGCGUCCUCACGGGGUGGAAGGGGUGAGGGAGCUCUCUGGGGUCCCUUAGAAGGGGACUCAUCGCAUUCAUGAGGCCCCACCUCCCAACACCAUCGCCUCGGGGGAGAGGAUUUCAACACGUGGAUCUUGGGGACCCAGGCAUUCAGGCCAUAGCACCCUUUAUGAGAGUAAGAGUGUCCCUCCUGAUUCUGGUUUCCUGGUCUAUUAUUAUUAUGAUUUUUCAGUUAUUGCCGAGUUGGACUUGCUACUGUGUGUUCUGUGUGGGAUUUCUGCCUCUGCUCUCCAGUGAUAACUGGCCUGUGACUUCCUGUGUCCCUGACCGCGUCCAGGCUGUGCCAGCCUCGGAACAGGCACUGGGAAACGCCCCUCGUUUUUCUUCUCCAGGGGAAUGCAUGUGUGAUUUCUUCCUUCAAUGUUUGGUCGACUCAUGGGAGCAGCCUUUGGGGGCUGGAAUUUUCUUGGUGGAACAGUUUUAAAUUAUGGACACAAUUUCUUGCAGAAACAGCUCUUUCAGAUUUUCUAUUGUAGUUUAUUUUUUGACUUGUUCAUCAGGGAGUCUGUUUCACCAGUCAUCUGACUUAUAGGCAUAAAGUGAUUCAUGAGCAUCCACUAUCUGAUGUUUGUAGGAUCUGUAGUUACAGCUGACAUGGCUAAUCUGUAUUUGCUCUCUUUUUUUUUUUUUUUUUUUUUUUU
This is a long non-coding RNA of Gorilla gorilla gorilla (western lowland gorilla), 9216 nucleotides long. RefSeq lists it as uncharacterized. NCBI's taxonomy places the organism in Eukaryota, Metazoa, Chordata, Mammalia, Primates, Hominidae. The transcript has 2 exons. The record is from RefSeq and is a predicted model, not a curated record.